Molecule: ribosomal RNA, 769 nt
Filed under: uncultured bacterium
Lineage: Bacteria
Description: bacterial SSU rRNA
Rfam family: Bacterial small subunit ribosomal RNA
Source: RNAcentral
AUAGGAAUCUGCCCAUGUAGUGGGGGACAACCUGGGGAAACUCAGGCUAAUACCGCAUAAGCCCUUCGGGGAAAGCAGGGGAUCUUCGGACCUUGCGCUAUUGGAUGAGCCUAUGUCUGAUUAGCUUGUUGGUGGGGUAACGGCCUACCAAGGCGACGAUCAGUAGCUGGUCUGAGAGGACGAUCAGCCACACUGGGACUGAGACACGGCCCAGACUCCUACGGGAGGCAGCAGUGGGGAAUAUUGGACAAUGGGGGCAACCCUGAUCCAGCAAUGCCGCGUGUGUGAAGAAGGCCUGCGGGUUGUAAAGCACUUUCAGUAGGGAGGAAAAGCUUAAGGUUAAUACCCUUGAGUCUUGACGUUAUCUACAGAAGAAGCACCGGCUAACUCUGUGCCAGCAGCCGCGGUAAUACAGAGGGUGCAAGCGUUAAUCGGAAUUACUGGGCGUAAAGCGCGCGUAGGGGUUUGUUAAGUCGGAUGUGAAAGCCCCGGGCUCAACCUGGGAACUGCAUUCGAUACUGGCAGGCUAGAGUAUGGUAGAGGGAAGUGGAAUUCCGGGUGUAGCGGUGAAAUGCGUAGAUAUCCGGAGAACAUCAGUGGCGAAGGGGCUUCCUGGACCAAUACUGACGCUGAGGUGCGAAAGGUGGGGAGCAAACAGGAUUAGAUACCCUGGUAGUCCACGCCGUAAACGAUGAGAACUAGACGUUGGGUUCAUUUAAGAACUUAGUGUCGCAGCUAACGCGUGAAGUUCUCCGCCUGGGGAGUACGG